RNAcentral lists this ribosomal RNA (253 nucleotides) under uncultured bacterium. RNAcentral's name for it is "partial 16S ribosomal RNA". It matches the Rfam family "Bacterial small subunit ribosomal RNA", at positions 524 to 776 of the family's 1533-position model. The record is from RNAcentral.
GACGAACCGUGCGAACGUUGUUCGGAAUCACUGGGCUUAAAGGGCGCGUAGGCGGUUCAUCAAGUCAGGGGUGAAAUCUUUCGGCUCAACCGGAAAAGUGCCCCUGAUACUGGUGAUCUCGAGGGAGGUAGGGGUCCGCGGAACUUCUGGUGGAGCGGUGAAAUGCGUUGAUAUCAGAAGGAACGCCGGUGGCGAAAGCGGCGGACUGGAUCUCUUCUGACGCUGAGGCGCGAAAGCUAGGGGAGCAAACGGG